RNAcentral lists this ribosomal RNA (253 nucleotides) under uncultured bacterium. RNAcentral's name for it is "partial 16S ribosomal RNA". It matches the Rfam family "Bacterial small subunit ribosomal RNA", at positions 524 to 776 of the family's 1533-position model. The record is from RNAcentral.
UACAGAGGGUGCGAGCGUUGUCCGGAAUCACUGGGCGUAAAGGGCGCGUAGGCGGCGCGGUAAGCGUGCGGUGAAAGCCCGGGGCUCAACCCCGGGUCGGCCGUGCGGACUGCCGGGCUGGAGCACUGUAGAGGCAGGUGGAAUUCCGGGUGUAGCGGUGAAAUGCGUAGAUAUCCGGAGGAACACCGGUGGCGAAGGCGGCUUCCUGGACCGACACUGACGCUGAGGCGCGAAAGCUAGGGGAGCAAACGGG